This 277-nucleotide unclassified non-coding RNA is filed under the name Hevea brasiliensis (rubber tree). Lineage: Eukaryota; Viridiplantae; Streptophyta; Magnoliopsida; Malpighiales; Euphorbiaceae. The record is from RNAcentral.
UAGAAAGGCAAGCACUGCACGGGGCCUUUCUGAUGCCUUUGCCUUACCCGAUAGGAAGAAGAAGCGGAAUUCGUUCAUCAACUGGGAAUUCGGGGAGGAAUCUCUCUUUGGGGUUGGGGCUUGAUUCCCAGUGGUUCCCUGAGACAACCAUCUCACAUCUAGCGCCUAGGGGCGUAGCCAGGGUUGGGAAAGAUUGGAGUAUUCUAUAAGGGAAAUGCGGCAGGAGUUUCUUUCGAAAAAGAAAAACUAAUAGCUACAAUUGCAACGCUAAAAUGCG